RNAcentral lists this ribosomal RNA (230 nucleotides) under uncultured soil bacterium. RNAcentral describes it as "partial 16S ribosomal RNA". It matches the Rfam family "Bacterial small subunit ribosomal RNA", at positions 26 to 256 of the family's 1533-position model. The record is from RNAcentral.
AGAUUGAACGCUGGCGGCAGGCCUAACACAUGCAAGUCGAGCGGCAGCACGGGUACUUGUACCUGGUGGCGAGCGGCGGACGGGUGAUUAAUGCCUAGGAAUCUGCCUGGUAGUGGGGGAUAACGCUCGGAAACGGACGCUAAUACCGCAUACGUCCUACGGGAGAAAGCAGGGGACCUUCGGGCCUUGCGCUAUCAGAUGAGCCUAGGUCGGAUUAGCUAGUUGGUGAG